Aotus nancymaae (Ma's night monkey) is the source of this 283-nucleotide unclassified non-coding RNA. It matches the Rfam family "Metazoan signal recognition particle RNA". From Rfam's summary of the family: The signal recognition particle (SRP) is a universally conserved ribonucleoprotein. It is involved in the co-translational targeting of proteins to membranes. The eukaryotic SRP consists of a 300-nucleotide 7S RNA and six proteins: SRPs 72, 68, 54, 19, 14, and 9. NCBI's taxonomy places the organism in Eukaryota, Metazoa, Chordata, Mammalia, Primates, Aotidae. The record is from Ensembl.
GGAGGCUGAAGUGGAAGGAUCAUUUGAGCCACACUCCUGUGUGGCUCUCAGGAGUUCUGGGCUGUGGUGAGCUAUGCCAAUCAGGUGCCCUGUGUCGGCACUCACCUCCAAGUUUGGCAUCGAUAUGGCGACCUCCUGGGAGCAGGGGACCACCAGGUUGCCAAGGGAGGGGUGAACUGACCCAGGUCAGAAACGGAGCAGGUCAAAAUUCCUGUGCUGAUCAGUAGUGUGAUCACACCUGUGAAUAGCCACUGCACUCCAGCCUGGGCAACAGAGCAAGACC